This 429-nucleotide ribosomal RNA is filed under the name Lactiplantibacillus plantarum. RNAcentral describes it as "bacterial SSU rRNA". It matches the Rfam family "Bacterial small subunit ribosomal RNA", at positions 378 to 797 of the family's 1533-position model. The record is from RNAcentral. Lineage: Bacteria; Bacillati; Bacillota; Bacilli; Lactobacillales; Lactobacillaceae.
AAAGUCUGAUGGAGCAACGCCGCGUGAGUGAAGAAGGGUUUCGGCUCGUAAAACUCUGUUGUUAAAGAAGAACAUAUCUGAGAGUAACUGUUCAGGUAUUGACGGUAUUUAACCAGAAAGCCACGGCUAACUACGUGCCAGCAGCCGCGGUAAUACGUAGGUGGCAAGCGUUGUCCGGAUUUAUUGGGCGUAAAGCGAGCGCAGGCGGUUUUUUAAGUCUGAUGUGAAAGCCUUCGGCUCAACCGAAGAAGUGCAUCGGAAACUGGGAAACUUGAGUGCAGAAGAGGACAGUGGAACUCCAUGUGUAGCGGUGAAAUGCGUAGAUAUAUGGAAGAACACCAGUGGCGAAGGCGGCUGUCUGGUCUGUAACUGACGCUGAGGCUCGAAAGUAUGGGUAGCAAACAGGAUUAGAUACCCCCCGGUAGUCAA